Non-coding RNA from Pseudonaja textilis, 326 nucleotides. Lineage: Eukaryota; Metazoa; Chordata; Lepidosauria; Squamata; Elapidae. The record is from RefSeq and is a predicted model, not a curated record.
AUUCUAUAUCUAAUCCUUGUUCAUUUAUUUCUCAUUUUGUUUUGGCCCACCCAUUUCAUUUAAAAUAUCUUUGUAUCUACUAACACUUCCCAUUUUACAAACAUUUUGAUAUACAAGUGCUUCAAUUGUGGAUAUACAAGUGCUUCCAUUGUGGUAUCUUCAUAUAGUGUUGCUCCCUAGUUUUCCCCCAUAUAUGUAACAAUGUAUCCCUGAUGACAUGUCUUUGAAAAUACCUAUGUGUUUUCCCUUUUCUAUACCAUAAAAAUGCAUGAUACCCCAUUUGUAAAUCAUGCCCUUCCAACGUUAAAACACGAGGAGGCGGACCU